This 403-nucleotide ribosomal RNA is filed under the name Verrucomicrobiota bacterium. RNAcentral's name for it is "Verrucomicrobia bacterium partial 16S ribosomal RNA". It matches the Rfam family "Bacterial small subunit ribosomal RNA", at positions 355 to 776 of the family's 1533-position model. Lineage: Bacteria; Pseudomonadati; Verrucomicrobiota. The record is from RNAcentral.
UGGGGAAUAUUGCACAAUGGGCGCAAGCCUGAUGCAGCAACGCCGCGUGAACGAUGAAGGUCUUCGGAUCGUAAAGUUCUGUUGCAGGGGAAGAUAAUGACGGUACCCUGUGAGGAAGCCCCGGCUAACUACGUGCCAGCAGCCGCGGUAAUACGUAGGGGGCUAGCGUUAUCCGGAUUUACUGGGCGUAAAGGGUGCGUAGGUGGUCCUUCAAGUCGGUGGUUAAAGGCUACGGCUCAACCGUAGUAAGCCGCCGAAACUGGAGGACUUGAGUGCAGGAGAGGAAAGUGGAAUUCCCAGUGUAGCGGUGAAAUUCGUAGAUAUUCGGAGGAACACCAGUGGCGAAGGCGGCUCACUGGCUCGAUACUGACGCUGAGGUGCGAAAGCGUGGGGAGCAAACAGG